CAGCCAACUUUCACUAUGAAAAUUCAAAAAAUGUUGUCUAAGCAGAUUACAGAUUACAUGUACAUGGCAUGUGAUGAUUUCGACGUUAUGGUUUAAUGUCGUAUAGAAAUACAUAUAUAUAGGUAAAAUUAGAGGUGUUGUGUGAGUUUGUGACCAUGGUCUGCAUGGAAGGAAGAGGAAUUCGGUGGUGUCACGGAGGACAUGUUUACGAAGGAUGUUCCUUAUGCCACCAUCGAUGGCGAAGAUAAGAUUGUCGGAGAGAUCAAAAGCGUCGUAACGAUCCAAGCUCUCACUAACUCUGUCAUGUACUGUAACAUCUAUCCCACAAACACACCAUUGUUUCUCAAACAAUAUUCUUGGGAGCAAGUUUAAAACAAGAACUUAUUAAAAAAGAGUAAAAAAUAUGGUUUUGUAGAUCAAAGGAUCAGCGUUCUCAUUUUGAUUCCUUCUUAAUGGUUGUUAGAUUGCUUGGGGAAGGCUGCUCUGUCAAUGGAGUCUCCUGAAGCUGUUUCGUCUGGUUCUCCUCCCUUGCCGCCUGAACCUCCAGAUCCGGAUCUCGACGUGAUGCUCCUGGUGGAUCAUCCUGGUCCUCCAGUCCCCCCCGACCCCCCGCCGGUUCUUCUAGGUUGUGCGCUUCUCCGCCAGAUCUCGUUGUCUUUCACCACUCCUCAC
RNAcentral lists this long non-coding RNA (672 nucleotides) under Brassica napus (rape). Its description in RNAcentral is "long non-coding RNA (BNAP_LNC010488)". The record is from RNAcentral. Lineage: Eukaryota; Viridiplantae; Streptophyta; Magnoliopsida; Brassicales; Brassicaceae.